Manis javanica (Malayan pangolin) is the source of this 2979-nucleotide long non-coding RNA. RefSeq lists it as uncharacterized. The record is from RefSeq and is a predicted model, not a curated record. NCBI's taxonomy places the organism in Eukaryota, Metazoa, Chordata, Mammalia, Pholidota, Manidae.
UUAAUAACUAUAAUUCUAUUUAGGCAAGUGCCUUAAAAACUUUUGACAGCUUCCCAAAACCAAAAUUUAAAAAGGUAUUUUUACCUCUCAAUUAACUGAUAUUUUCCAGAGGGCGCCUGGAACUUAUCAGUAGAAUUUCUUCUCCUCAUCAAAGAAAAUAUUUGACUAAUUUGGCUUAUUUACCUGAUACAUACUUACCUAAAAAGUGCUGUCAAAAGAAAUAAUGGCUCGAUUUUAUUACUGAGUGUUUUAUGUUACAUAAAUAUCCAAACUUCCAUAUAUCAACUAUCUUACAGUAAGUUCUCAUCAAAUCUUUAACCACUGUCAUUUAUAAAUCUUUUCUUGUUUAUAAUCACUGUUUAAUUACUACUAAACUAGUGAAGAACUAGAUUUCAGCAAAUUGAGUACUGGUUACUUAGGAUUGAGUAAACUAAGGACAUUUUGUAGCUUCUUGUUUCAAGUGUUGCUGAUAAAAUGUUUUAAGCUUUAUCUCUUAAGCUGACUGACAAUGCUCCAGUUUACCUCUCUGUGUUACAUUUUUUCAGCUAUAUAACAUCACUCAUAACACAGGCAUUUCAUACAAUUCUACAAGUCAAGCUCUCAUUGAAUAUUGUGAUCUUAUUCUUAAACAUUAUUAAUACAAAGAGGGGGGAUUACUCCCUGAUAUGAUAAAAUUAGUUGCAAGUUGACGAUUGGUGCAUGCUUUACAUAUCCUUAAUUUUGAUCUUCUGGAGGGUGAUAGAUGGUCAGUGGUAGAGGUACAUUUUUCUGAUAAUAUUUACAACAACACUUCCUGUGUGGUAGUCUCCAAUGAGUUCUUCACUAUGGCAUAAAGAUCAUAUCAAGGUGUGGGGCAAGGGGUUUGCUUGUGUUUUUACAGAGGAUCAAUCUGGCCGCCCAGAAAAUGAAUUCAGAUACGAUAUGAAGGAGAACUUCCAACAUCAACAUCCUCUGGAGGAGUCAUUCCAGAAGGUGACCAUCAAAAAACCUCAACAAAAGUCUGCAUGUCAAACACGGAAAACUGAAGCCCACUAAAUAAUAUUACAACAACUCGUGAGCCAAAAGUUGCACAAGUCAUCUUUUUGUGUAGCAAGAAAUUCCUCUAUCAGUGAACUGUUGAAGAAGAAUUUAAUAGGCAUAAGACUUUCUCUUACGGUGUUUACUAAUAUCUCAGGCAUAAACAUCACUCUUCCCCCUAAAGUGCUUGCUCCUGAUGCCCAGUUAAAUUUACCUGUUAAUACUACUAUAAUUACUGAUUGUGUAUGUAUUAAUUGUACUCAUCUACCCUCUUAUUGCAAUUCUUCAAUCAUUGUAAAAUAGUCUUCUAGAUAUAGACUUCCAAAUGGUUGGGUAUUUUUGUGUAAUAACAAAACAUAUCAAGCCCUUUCUUCACACUAUCAAGGUAUUUGUGAGGUGGGAUGCAUUCUUCCUGCUCUAAUAGACCACCUGAAUAUAAGCACAAGAAGCUUCUAGCUCUGCCAUCUGAUUGUCAUGAAAACUUGACACUUUGAGAUCCUGCUGCUGUUGCAAUUGCAGCUGCAUUCCUCCUGCCAGUUCCUGGACUUGUCAUUGGAAUGCAGAAAGAGAUAUCUAAGCUGGCCUGUGCAUAUAGCAAAACAACAAACUUGACUGCUUCUGUAUUAUCUGAACUCAACCAAAAACUGAGAGAAUUGCUAGCUGCAGUGCUUCAGAAUCGCGCUGCUGUGGACUGUUUGAUGUUAAAAGAGCAUGUAAGAUGUGAUCAGUUUCUUAGAAUGUGCUGUUUCAAUUUCUCAAACUACCCAAAAUCAAUUAGAUGAUAUCCCUCAUAUUGUCAAUAAGUUUUUACAAAUGCCUAAGCUCUUUAACUAGUUUUUUUAGUUUCAUUAGAGAUAACUAGUAAUUGUAAGUCUGCCUUUGUUAUGUAUCUGUAUUCCUAUUCUGUUAAUGUAUGUAAGCAAUUUAACUAGUAGUCUGUUAAAACAUAUAUAUAUAUAUAUACAUACAAGUUAUGUCUGUCUUUCAACAUGUUCAAUCUCAGCCAUGUAAUGCAUAUUUCCCACAAAACUAAGAUACCAUAUAAUCCGCAAAGCACUAUAAAACGUGCCCAUGGCACCCUUAAAGCUCAUUUGGAAAAAACAAAAAAGGGGGAGUUAUAUUCCCGGCCACCACAGAACUAUUUAAAUCAUAUCUUAUUUACAGCCAAAACUGCAUCUGAUAUAUUAAAUCAGACAAAAGACAUGUUCAGGGGCCCCCUGAAUAGUCUCUGGCAUGCUGUCACACCUCUCUUAACCCUAAGCAUUUUAUGGCUUUUGUUGCUGUUACUAGGGCCUUUUGUCCUUUGCAGCAUGUGGAAACUCAACCAGCAAGCCUUAAGAGACCUGCAUCAUUUGAAAUUGCUGAUGGCCCCCCAACUUGUAAAUCAUAAGUUCUAAAGUCUUGACUCAUUUUCUGUUAUCAUUAUGUGCAGCCAUUGUGUGUAUGUUUCCUAAAAAUGAGUUCAAAAGCAUUUCUGCACCUUGGUGCAGAGCUACAUAUGUCUCAGCUGAAAAGUCACCCCCCGAUGCCGGAUAUUGAGAAGGGGACAGGAUAGUCAAUGACUGGUUGUCUUGGAGACCUCUGGCAACCUAAGACAGGGCCCUCAUGAUGGAAUGUGGGUACCAAUGAUGGGUCAGUCCAGAUGAGUGUUCCAGGAACACCUAAGACAGGCACUGUCACCCUCAUAAAAUAAAAAAAGGAGAUGUGGGGAGCAGGCUAUGUCCUUCCCCCACUUGCUGAUGUGGCAGGAAUGGAGAACAAAACAUUCUGUACGCAUUCCAUGAGCAACUAACUGGAACCCUGCUGAGCCUACCUUUGCCUGGCUACUGCUGACGUCAAUACUGUGCUUGAUUGUCUAUUGGAUAAUGCUAUGUCCUGGAAUCAUGUAACCCCACUGCAUUAUAUAAACCCUGGACCUUCAUUAAAGUUUUGCUGGCGUGCGUGGGAGCGUCAGCCCUCCCA